ACGAGCAGCGGGGGCUUCGGCCUGCCGGCGAGUGGCGAACGGGUGAGUAAUGCAUCGGAACGUACCCAGUCGUGGGGGAUAACUACGCGAAAGCGUGGCUAAUACCGCAUACGCCCUGAGGGGGAAAGCGGGGGAUCUUCGGACCUCGCGCGAUUGGAGGGGCUGAUGUCGGAUUAGCUAGUUGGUGGGGUAAAGGCCUACCAAGGCGACGAUCCGUAGCUGGUCUGAGAGGAUGAUCAGCCACACUGGGACUGAGACACGGCCCAGACUCCUACGGGAGGCAGCAGUGGGGAAUUUUGGACAAUGGGCGCAAGCCUGAUCCAGCCAUGCCGCGUGAGUGAAGAAGGCCUUCGGGUUGUAAAGCUCUUUCAGUCGGGAAGAAACGGCGCGCUCUAACAUACCGUGUUAGUGACGGU
This 416-nucleotide ribosomal RNA is filed under the name uncultured bacterium. Its description in RNAcentral is "bacterial SSU rRNA". It matches the Rfam family "Bacterial small subunit ribosomal RNA", at positions 66 to 476 of the family's 1533-position model. The record is from RNAcentral.